Molecule: transfer RNA, 76 nt
Filed under: Ignatzschineria ureiclastica
Lineage: Bacteria; Pseudomonadati; Pseudomonadota; Gammaproteobacteria; Cardiobacteriales; Ignatzschineriaceae
Also listed under: 8 other names
Description: tRNA-His
Rfam family: tRNA
About the family: Transfer RNA (tRNA) molecules are approximately 80 nucleotides in length. Their secondary structure includes four short double-helical elements and three loops (D, anti-codon, and T loops).
Source: RNAcentral
GUGGGCGUAGCUCAGUUGGUAGAGCCCCGGAUUGUGAUUCCGGUUGUCGCGGGUUCAAGUCCCGUCGUUCACCCCA